AGUUCGGAUCGCAGGCUGCAACCCGCCUGCGUGAAGUCGGAAUCGCUAGUAAUCGCGGAUCAGCAUGCCGCGGUGAAUACGUUCCCGGGCCUUGUACACACCGCCCGUCACACCAUGAGAGUCGGGAACACCCGAAGCCCGUAGCCUAACAGCAAUGAGGGCGCGGUCGAAGGUGGGUUCGAUAAUUGGGGUGAAGUCGUAACAAGGUAGC
RNAcentral lists this ribosomal RNA (211 nucleotides) under uncultured bacterium. Its description in RNAcentral is "partial 16S ribosomal RNA". It matches the Rfam family "Bacterial small subunit ribosomal RNA", at positions 1290 to 1500 of the family's 1533-position model. The record is from RNAcentral.